GGCCCUGGGGUGUUAAGACAUAUAAGAUUGCAAAUCUUAAGUAGCAGGCUACUACCCCUGCCUGGGCUU
Molecule: transfer RNA, 69 nt
Filed under: Anabas testudineus (climbing perch)
Lineage: Eukaryota; Metazoa; Chordata; Actinopteri; Anabantiformes; Anabantidae
Also listed under: 1 other name
Description: tRNA-Cys
Source: RNAcentral